AGCGAACGUUAGCGGCGGGCUUAACACAUGCAAGUCGAGCGAGAAAGGGGGCUUCGGCUCCCCGGUAAAGCGGCGGACGGGUGAGUAACACGUAGGUAACCUGCCCUUCGAUGGGGGACAACCAACCGAAAGGUUGGCUAAUACCGCAUACGUCGUGCGGAGCUGCGGCUCUGUACGGGAAAGGGGGUCGGCUUCGGUCGGCACUCGUCGAAGGAGGGGCCUGCGUCGCAUCAGCUAGUUGGUGGGGUAACGGCUCACCAAGGCAAAGACGCGUAGCUGGUCUGAGAGGAUGAUCAGCCACACUGGGACUGAGACACGGCCCAGACUCCUACGGGAGGCAGCAGUGGGGAAUAUUGGACAAUGGGGGCAACCCUGAUCCAGCCACGCCGCGUGAGUGAUGAAGGCCUUCGGGUCGUAAAGCUCUGUGGCGAGGGACGAAAAAAACGGGCUUAAACUCCCGGGUUUGACGGUACCUCGUUAGCAAGCACCGGCUAACUCCGUG
RNAcentral lists this ribosomal RNA (502 nucleotides) under uncultured organism. Its description in RNAcentral is "bacterial SSU rRNA". It matches the Rfam family "Bacterial small subunit ribosomal RNA", at positions 30 to 507 of the family's 1533-position model. The record is from RNAcentral.